CUGCGCUGGCGGCGUGCUUAAACAUGCAAGUCGAACCGAUGAAGCCCAGCUUGCUGGGUGGAUUAGUGGCGAACGGGUGAGUAACACGUGAGUAACCUGCCCUUGACUCUAGGAUAAGCCCGGGAAACUGGGUCUAAUACUGGAUAGGAACGUCUACCGCAUGGUGGAUGUUGGAAAGAAUUUCGGUCAUGGAUGGACUCGCGGCCUAUCAGCUUGUUGGUGAGGUAAUGGCUCACCAAGGCGACGACGGGUAGCCGGCCUGAGAGGGUGACCGGCCACACUGGGACUGAGACACGGCCCAGACUCCUACGGGAGGCAGCAGUGGGGAAUAUUGCACAAUGGGCGAAAGCCUGAUGCAGCGACGCCGCGUGAGGGAUGACGGCCUUCGGGUUGUAAACCUCUUUCAGUAGGGAAGAAGCGAAAGUGACGGUACCUGCAGAAGAAGCACCGGCUAACUACGUGCCAGCCGCCGCGUUAAAAUACA
Molecule: ribosomal RNA, 484 nt
Filed under: Micrococcus luteus
Lineage: Bacteria; Bacillati; Actinomycetota; Actinomycetes; Micrococcales; Micrococcaceae
Description: bacterial SSU rRNA
Rfam family: Bacterial small subunit ribosomal RNA
Source: RNAcentral